Non-coding RNA from Podarcis muralis (Common wall lizard), 2827 nucleotides. The record is from RefSeq and is a predicted model, not a curated record. Lineage: Eukaryota; Metazoa; Chordata; Lepidosauria; Squamata; Lacertidae.
GGGAGAUACCCCUCAACAGGCUUCCUGUCGGUUAUAUUUGCUCUUCACAUCUGCGAUGAGGUGGACCUUUACGGCUUCGGAGCCGACAGCAAAGGGAACUGGCACCACUACUGGGAAAAACAACCCAUCAGCCGGGGCUUUCCGCCAGACGGGUGUCCACGACGGGGAUUUUGAAUCCAACGUGACGUUGACUCUUGCCUCGGUCGACAAAGUACGCUUUUUCAAGGGCAGAUGACCCCGGUCACGGGGAGCGCUGUGAUUUCUGACUUACGGGGAAUACAGAGACACUUGCCGAAACGAAAGGGGUCUCGGAGUUGACUGUAUCUCACGCCUUAGCCGACAAAGCCAGGAACGACAGCCGGGUUGCAGUUUGCAAGCGGCAUUGCUGGGUUCCCGAAUUUUCUUUACCAACGUUUGAAGGAUGUGGGAGGAUUCCUCUUCCUGCUUCGUCACUCUCCCUUUCGUGAGACAUUUCCACUCUGUAAAUCUUGCCUUGUGCAAGUUAAAGGAAGCAAAAGUUAGAUCCUGACCCCUAACCCCCUUUCGUCUUUCUGAGAAUGCAUAUCUUGAGCUUUCAUUUUCUCUGGGACCGAAAACACUUGCGGAAGAGAUGCUGGAUUUCAUUCCUGACAACAGUGGAUGUGAAACACCCUCUCCGUUCACAAAUUACCUCAAAAAGGAGCUAAUUCUGUUUUUUAUCUUCUCCUAGAAGCAGCAUUCUUGCAAGACCUCUGAGCUCCCAUACUGCAUUAUGAUCAAGUGUGCAUUUGUCACCAGCCGGCAAAAAUUGGCACCAGCUUUAGCUGAGAUUCCUGCAUUGCAGGGGGUUGGACUAGAUGGCCCUUGGGGGUCCCUUUCAACUCUAAAAUAUUAUGAUUCUAUUAUUCCAUUUGCCAAGAGCUGGGAAUUUUGAAUGAAACACUUUCCAGUUAUUACUGUGGAUUCCCCCCCCCCCCGUGUGAAAUGUAUUUGCUCUUCUUCAUAGCCAUAAUUAAGGAGGGAAAAGAUUGGGGGGGGGGUUGAAAAUGAAGAUAUAAGAAGCUGGAGUAAACUAGUCACUAUUGUUUACCUUUUAAAAAUGUCUUUCUCGCCGCUUCUGAGCUUUCGACUCUGCUACCAAUCAGAGAAAUGAAGUUAUUUUUAUAUCUAUAUAAAUUUUUGUCAUUGACAUGUGCCUUUCUGAAAUAUCAAGAAUACAAAAGGGAGAGUCGUUCUGGCUUGUUCGGCUCUCACCGAGACUGAAAUCCCUCGAUUAAACCUUUUUUACAUAUAUAUAUAUAUAUAGGGAAAUAACUGACCAAAGUUCAACGCUACUUACCGUCAUCAGUUUUUUUUAUCGACAGCUUUCUUCAGUCUACUUGAAAGGUUCGCGAGCAACAGUCAGGUUUCAGUUUUGUUUUUGAGAGAGAGAAACGUUUUUGCCUUAUUUUAAAAGAAUGUGGGGGUUUUUUUUAUUAAAAAAUAAGAUUAUUAUUUUUUUUUUUUGGCUUCUAUUUUUGACUGCUGUGGUAGGUGGCUCCUGUGUGAAAUUGUCCUGAAGUGGAAGGAAAUUGUCUCCACCUCAGGAGGAUAUUGUUCAAGGGCUACAUCGGAGGAGUGAGCAGAAUCAAGAUGUGAGAUCCAUGGCCAGGGAAUGAGAUUACUUGGGAGUCAGUCCCCAGCGAACUCCAUACAGCUUACUUCUGAGCAGGCAAGCAUAGGAUCGCACCGUCAGGGACCUUAUAAAGAAUGAAAAGAGGAAGGGAUGAUCUCCACAGUUGACAAGGCCCUUAAGCGAAGGUGAUGGGAAGAGAUUAGGCUGGAACGUUGUGGAAAGCAUCCUCUUCUGGAGAAUGAAGAGAGGGGAAGCCGUCCUUAACGAAGCAUUUGCCACAGGAACUAAUUGUGAGACUGUUAGGAAGACGGCCGUGUGGCGGUUUCAAGAAAACAGUGGUGGGCAGAUCCACGUUAAAGUCGCCUCGUGCCGCUGGUCGUGGGACCUCUUGAGGGGACGUUGGGGGGGGGGGGUCAGAGUGAUUCUUUGUGCUGAAAAUCCAGAUGGAUAUGCUACCUUCUUAUUUCCUUUUUUAAAAAAAUAAAAUAGUGCGUAUCUAUUUUAAUUGUCGCUAUAAAACGGAGAGAGACACCCUUUCUGAAAACCUCUCCGAAAGAUCUCGUGCAAGGCUUUUUAGUUCUCACGGGCAACCAACACCUGAGGAUAAACACAGUUAUUAUUUUUAAAUAAAUAAGAAUGCAUAAACCAGCUGUAUUUCAGCAGGAAGGAGACGACGUGGGGGUCAGGAUGGUUGCUUUUUCCUCAAAACGAAAGCGGCCAGAUUUAAGGACGCCUUUUGAAAACUUGCCAUUUGACCCUUAGCCCCAGUGGGUUGUGGUAAUGAAUUUCACAGCGCAGGGGUAGUUCGAAACCUGUUCGAAAUGAGUGCCGCAGCAAGGAUAUUAUUGUCUGCCCCAGAAUUGUUUAGAUUCCCUGGUAGGGUUGCCAGUUCCUUUUGCCCGCCUCUGCGCCUGUGCCUUUCACGGCAACAUGAUCUGCAAGCGGCUAAUUCUUACCUCCACAUUGUGGGAAGUGUUGCCUGCAGAUCAGGGUCGCUGCUCAAAAUGCACAAGAGCAGGCCAGACUGCCCCCAUUAAUUGGCAACCCUAUUUUACAGACUGGAAAUAAUGUUGUUUUUUUCAACAUCGUACUCUGAGCUUAUAGGGUCGGAACAACAUCCAAAUAAAUCAAUUUGUAGUUAGCACCCGAGGAGGACUGAACUCACACGCACUUGAUAUGCAUGUGAAUGAUUCUAGUUUCAGUCCCUGAUAUCCUGUCCCACCCCCUUUAAAA